This is a long non-coding RNA of Carassius carassius (crucian carp), 377 nucleotides long. RefSeq lists it as uncharacterized. The transcript has 3 exons. NCBI's taxonomy places the organism in Eukaryota, Metazoa, Chordata, Actinopteri, Cypriniformes, Cyprinidae. The record is from RefSeq and is a predicted model, not a curated record.
UUAAGUUGUAUUUUAUUUUAAUUAAUGUAAUUUCAAACAACUAUAACACCUCCUUUCUUAUUCUUGAUUUCUGUGCAUUUGCUGCAGAUCUUUUGUGGUGGAGCAGGACCUGCAAGGAAAGGUGAAAAAAAGGGAAAACCUGAAACAAAAGAAUAAAGGGCUUACAAUCCCCUGAUCAACCUGGAGAAGAGAGCCUUGCUCAAGGACACACUGGUGUUCCUGUGGCUCAAGUGGUAGAGCAUUGCAUUAGCAGUGCAAGGUUGUGGGUUCGAAUACCAGGGAAGACAUGUUAGGUAGUCGUGCUCAUGGGGUGCAGGCACAUGAAAGUUUGGAGCAGACACAGCAGUCAGAUUGUCCUGCACGUGUUCUUCUGCUCU